GGGCGUGACGCUUGUGGCGUAUUACUCUGCAAAGGUAUUAUAGGUAUUUCGAUGCCCCCGCCUU
This 64-nucleotide transfer RNA is filed under the name Fasciolopsis buskii. RNAcentral's name for it is "Fasciolopsis buski tRNA-Cys". Lineage: Eukaryota; Metazoa; Platyhelminthes; Trematoda; Plagiorchiida; Fasciolidae. The record is from RNAcentral.